GACGAACGCUGGCGGCGUGCUUAACACAUGCAAGUCGAACGGAAAGGCCCUGCUGUUGUGGGGUGCUCGAGUGGCGAACGGGUGAGUAACACGUGAGUAACCUGCCCUUGACUUUGGGAUAACUUCAGGAAACUGGGGCUAAUACCGGAUAGGAGCUCCUGCUGCAUGGUGGGGGUUGGAAAGUUUCGGCGGUUGGGGAUGGACUCGCGGCUUAUCAGCUUGUUGGUGGGGUAGUGGCUGACCAAGGCUUUGACGGGUAGCCGGCCUGUGAGGGUGACCGGCGACAAUGGGACUGAGAUACGGACCAGACUCCUACGGGAGGCAGCAGUGGGGAAUAUGGCACAAUGGGCGGAAGUGUGAUGCAGCAACGCCGCGUGCGGGAUGACGGCCUUCGGGUUGUAAACCGCUUUCGCCUGUGACGAAGCGUGAGUGACGGUAAUGGGUAAAGAAGCACCGGCUAACUACGUG
This 468-nucleotide ribosomal RNA is filed under the name uncultured bacterium. RNAcentral describes it as "partial 16S ribosomal RNA". It matches the Rfam family "Bacterial small subunit ribosomal RNA", at positions 28 to 507 of the family's 1533-position model. The record is from RNAcentral.